This 1034-nucleotide small RNA is filed under the name Pan troglodytes (chimpanzee). RNAcentral's name for it is "retained intron". Lineage: Eukaryota; Metazoa; Chordata; Mammalia; Primates; Hominidae. The record is from RNAcentral.
CGCGCCUGGGCGCUAAGAUGGCGGCGGCGUGAGUUGCAUGUUGUGUGAGGAUCCCGGGGCCGCCGCGUCGCUCGGGCCCCGCCAUGGCCGUCACCAUCACGCUCAAAACGCUGCAGCAGCAGACCUUCAAGAUCCGCAUGGAGCCUGACGAGACGGUGAAGGUGCUAAAGGAGAAGAUAGAAGCUGAGAAGGGUCGUGAUGCCUUCCCCGUGGCUGGACAGAAACUCAUCUAUGCCGGCAAGAUCUUGAGUGACGAUGUCCCUAUCAGGGACUAUCGCAUCGAUGAGAAGAACUUUGUGGUCGUCAUGGUGACCAAGACCAAAGCCGGCCAGGGUACCUCAGCACCCCCAGAGGCCUCACCCACAGCUGCCCCAGAGUCCUCUACAUCCUUCCCGCCUGCCCCCACCUCAGGCAUGUCCCAUCCCCCACCUGCCGCCAGAGAGGACAAGAGCCCAUCAGAGGAAUCCGCCCCCACGACGUCCCCAGAGUCUGUGUCAGGCUCUGUUCCCUCUUCAGGUAGCAGCGGGCGAGAGGAAGACGCGGCCUCCACGCUAGUGACGGGCUCUGAGUAUGAGACGAUGCUGACGGAGAUCAUGUCCAUGGGCUAUGAGCGAGAGCGGGUCGUGGCCGCCCUGAGAGCCAGCUACAACAACCCCCACCGAGCCGUGGAGUAUCUGCUCACGGUGAGGUGGGGCUUCCGCCUCGCGGGGAGGCCUUGAGGGAGUACCCAGGCGUCACUGCCCUGAUGGGCGGUUGGGAAGGCAAAACCUGCCCUGAAAAGCCUUUGGGUAGUGAUUCUAGCCACUAAAGGCUUCCCACAGGAGGCUGGAUGUGAGUGAUAGGUGGGCCUCUGGAGGGCAGGGCCGAGGCCUCAUCUGUGUCCUGCCAGGGCAUGGAGGAGGGUGGCAGCAGGAGGUAUGUGCAUUAGAACUAAACAGGACCCCUGACAGGGAAUUCCUGGGAGCCCCGAGCCAGAACACGGUUCUGUCCAGGAGAGCCAGGUAUCGGAGCAGCCGGCCACGGAAGCAGGAGAG